Molecule: small nuclear RNA, 273 nt
Filed under: Echinops telfairi (small Madagascar hedgehog)
Lineage: Eukaryota; Metazoa; Chordata; Mammalia; Afrosoricida; Tenrecidae
Description: 7SK RNA (ENSETEG00000025899.1)
Rfam family: 7SK RNA
About the family: 7SK was discovered as an abundant small nuclear RNA in the mid-70s but a possible function has only recently been suggested. Two independent studies have found that 7SK RNA binds the CDK9/cyclin T complex (known as elongation factor P-TEFb).
Source: RNAcentral
GAAAUUCACUGGGGCAGAUUGCUCUGUCCUAGGAGUCGGCAGGGUGGAUUCGGCUGAUCUGGCUGGUUAGGCGGGUGUCCCCUUCCUCCCUCAGCACUCCAUGUACCUCCUUCCCGACCUUCCCUCAUAGAAAGAGGACCGUCCUUCGGUCAAGGGUACAUGAGUGGCUGUGCUUUCCUGCUAGAACCUCCAAACAGGUCUUGAGAUCCUGAUAAGGAAACACAGGCUUGGUUUAUACUCUCUACUAAGGUCAGGAAUUAGUCCCACCUUAAU